UUCUGCUGGGUCUGGGAAUGCUGGAAUUCCCAAUACAGGCAGCAGCAAGGCCUGAGGACACCUCUGCUGGGUGCCAGGUGAGGCUCGGCCAAGGACAGCAGCCUGUGGCAGCAAUGAUAAACCUGAUAAACCUGAUAAACACAGGGGGAUUGUGGAGUGUGGGGAAGCCAAGGCAAUAAUAACCUCCCCUGUCUGUUUCACCAAGCAGAUUGAGGCCGACCCUCGGCCUUUUCCCCAUUUUUCUCAGGCUGCUGCAGAUCCCUGCCUGGAGAAAUGAUCUUUAAUCUGCUCCUGAAUGGGAUGAGGCAGCAGAAACCUGAGUGAGGUGAAUUAAUGGGCCCUGCUGCUGCUGUCUCCUGAAAACCCUCUGCCAAAGGAAACCAAUUUUUUUACUUAACAGUACAAAUGUUUUGAGAAUGCUGGGAGAAGUGGAUUAGAAGUGAGAAAUUCACCUAAAGCAGGAGAAAUUCAUCUGUGCAGGGAAAAGUCAUGAUUUGUCAAAAAUCUGCAUUCCCAGUCCCAGCAGAGCUGCCCCUGAGGGUCCCCCUGGGGUGCAGGCCCCCUGCUCUCCCCUGAUGGAGGAGCGUUUCGUGGGGCACAGACAGAAGGAUUCUUUCUAAGGAGAAGGAAGAAAUAACAAAUUCGAAAUGCCAGGCAUUCCUAAUGGGAGCUGACAGAGAGGAGAUGGAAGUGCCACCACCAGAGUGUCCCAGUGGGCCCUGCCCAGUGCCCCAGCAGCUGCUCAGCCAAGGCACACCAACACCACAGUUUGGGGGUAUUUUUCCAACUUCCCCCCAGCUUUAGAACCUGGGGUUUCUCCAAAGCCCACCCCAUCAGCCUCCCCUGGCUGCCACGAUCACACAUUUGCUGAGGGGUGACAGUGAGCUCCCUGUCAUGGAUCUCUCCUGACACGUCAAGAGCCCUGAGCGAAGUGAGUGAAUCUCAAAUUCAGCUGGAGACACAAACACAGUGCAAAAAUCCCCCCCAGCUGCAGCUCAGUUCAGCAGUUCCAGAGCAGAGGAUGUGAAAAAUUGAUGCUGGUGCACCAAGGCUCAGAGGAUGGGAAGGAAGGACAGAAAUGAUUUGAAUAUUUUGAAUUUGUUUCUCUCUGUCACCUUGUGCUGGGAUGUGGAUUUGCCUUUCCUUAUAUUUGCAUGUUGUAAUUAUUUUUAUGUCACCUUUUGCUCUCCAUUUAGCAACUAUUGUUUGAAACUAAGAUUAAUUCAUCUGAAAACCAUGACAUCAAAACUAAAGCCUGGAGUAUCUGCUCAGUUACUCCAGUGCUGAGAGCCCAUAAUUUUUUUCCUUGCCAUGCUACAAACAAGGUGAUCACUUCUGAAGUCCCCUCCAGCAAUUCACUUGGCAUUUGUGAGCUCCUGGCAGCCACCAAUAACAGAGAGAGAGGAGAAAAUACAGAUCAGCUGUCAGUGCUGAAAAAUAAACUUCAGCCAAGUGAUUUUAAUGGCUGAGUCAGUCUGCACCAAGGAGGGAGCACUGGCACCUCCACACUGGGAUAAAUGAGCAGCUUUUCCUGCAGGGGAGCUCAGGAGGCAUGGGGAAAGCAGGAGCAGAGCUGGCCCCAGCACAGGUGAUCCCACAGCACAGAGCAGGUGAAAUGUGGGAAGAGCUGGGAAAUGCCUCUUGGGACGAGCAGAGGUGGUGCAGAUUGGGAACUCAUUUAGGAGCUCCACGUGUUUGUUUGGAUCCCACUGGGAAUGCAGUGGGAUCCUCCCAGCACCAGCCUUUCCAUCCCAUCAUCUACACCAUGAAUUCAAGAGGCUCCUCAGAACACAGCAGAUGGAGCAGGUCCAGUGAAUUUUCCUUCCCUGUCCUGUCUGAACUGCACAAUUAUCAGAUUUUGCUGUGCUAUAUCACAAUAAAUAAAUGCCUUUGGAUUAUCUUUGAUCUUUUA
Cyanistes caeruleus (blue tit) is the source of this 1912-nucleotide long non-coding RNA. RefSeq lists it as uncharacterized. The record is from RefSeq and is a predicted model, not a curated record. NCBI's taxonomy places the organism in Eukaryota, Metazoa, Chordata, Aves, Passeriformes, Paridae.